Molecule: transfer RNA, 69 nt
Filed under: Urocitellus parryii (Arctic ground squirrel)
Lineage: Eukaryota; Metazoa; Chordata; Mammalia; Rodentia; Sciuridae
Also listed under: 2 other names
Description: Spermophilus parryii (Arctic ground squirrel) tRNA
Rfam family: tRNA
About the family: Transfer RNA (tRNA) molecules are approximately 80 nucleotides in length. Their secondary structure includes four short double-helical elements and three loops (D, anti-codon, and T loops). Further hydrogen bonds mediate the characteristic L-shaped molecular structure. tRNAs have two regions of fundamental functional importance: the anti-codon, which is responsible for specific mRNA codon recognition, and the 3' end, to which the tRNAs corresponding amino acid is attached (by aminoacyl-tRNA synthetases). tRNAs cope with the degeneracy of the genetic code in two manners: having more than one tRNA (with a specific anti-codon) for a particular amino acid; and 'wobble' base-pairing, i.e. permitting non-standard base-pairing at the 3rd anti-codon position.
Source: Rfam by way of RNAcentral
GGAUUUGUGGCUCAGUAGUACAGCACUUGCCUGGCAUGUGUGAGGCUCUGGGUUCAAUUCUCAGCACCA